This 212-nucleotide unclassified non-coding RNA is filed under the name plant metagenome. RNAcentral's name for it is "partial contains small subunit ribosomal RNA, internal transcribed spacer 1, and 5.8S ribosomal RNA". The record is from RNAcentral.
UUUCCGUUGGUGAACCAGCGGAGGGAUCAUUACAGGAUCGAAAGACUCCUAUAACCCCUGUGAACUUACUACAAAUACGUUGCUUCGGCGGGUGCCCCGGGUCUCCCGGGGCGUUCAGCCCGCCGGCAGCCUUCAAAUUCUGUUUCUUUGCGUUGGCAUCUCGAGUAUACAAAAAUAAGUUAAAACUUUCAACAACGGAUCUCUUGGUUCUG